UCUCCAAAUGGCAUCAUCAACUACCUUGCUCCUUUUCCUCCUCUUCCCCCUCCUCUCCCAUGCCGCCAACUUCAACGUCGUAAACCAGUGCUCCUACACCGUCUGGGCUGCCGCAGUCCCCGGCGGAGGCCAACAGCUCGACCCCGGCCAGUCCUGGACUGUCACCGCCCCGGCUGGCACCACUGGUGGCCGCAUCUGGGCACGCACAGGCUGCAACUUCGACGCCAAUGGCCAGGGUAGCUGUGGGACCGGCGACUGCGGCGGCGUACUCCAGUGCACGGCCUACGGCGCCCCGCCCGACACCCUCGCCGAGUACGCCCUCGCCCAGUUUGACAACCUCGACUUCUACGACAUCUCCCUCGUCGACGGCUUCAACGUCCCCAUGGACUUCACCCCCACAUCCGGUGGCUGCCACGACAUCAACUGCUCCGCCGAUGUGGUGGGACAGUGCCCGGCAGCCCUUCAGCUUGACGGGGCCUGCGGCAACCCAUGCACCAUUUUCAAGACCGACGAUUACUGCUGCACCGGAUCGGCGGCGAACAGCUGUGGGCCG
This 553-nucleotide unclassified non-coding RNA is filed under the name Hevea brasiliensis (rubber tree). Lineage: Eukaryota; Viridiplantae; Streptophyta; Magnoliopsida; Malpighiales; Euphorbiaceae. The record is from RNAcentral.